Long non-coding RNA from Poecilia reticulata (guppy), 1708 nucleotides. RefSeq lists it as uncharacterized. The record is from RefSeq and is a predicted model, not a curated record. NCBI's taxonomy places the organism in Eukaryota, Metazoa, Chordata, Actinopteri, Cyprinodontiformes, Poeciliidae.
UCUGUGAAAGCGAAGCGCUGCUGAGUUAGCUGUGGCCAUCGGAUUUCUGAUGAGAGUAACAAACACGAUAAUUGGCAAGUCACGUAAUUGCUUGCAUUUUAAUCGGUGCGUUUUGCAUCCACUGAAAACAAAGAUGUUAACAAAUAAAAUGGAUAGUAUCCUGCAUGUUCAGUGAUAUUUUCAGUUGCGGUCUUGACAUAAAAUGCAGAGUCCUCAGCGCCCAAGACCGAGACCAAAUGCAGUCGAGUCAGACGAGACGGAGACCAUCAAAUAAUGGUCUCGAGACCGAUCUCGAGUACUACACUGCUCUCCAGGGAAAACUGGGUGGACAAAGCAUUUUGAAUGACUGUGAUGGUGACACACACGUGGGUCUGAUUAGUUUUGUUCACACUUCUCUUUAAAAUGUUUAUCCUGAUGUGUCUGCUAUUUAUCAUGUUGUUCCUCCAGGCUGGGAAAACCAGGCAUUCUUCUGUUGGUUCAUGUGCUUCGUCCUACAUCCACAGGCCACAAGAAGAAUCCAAAACGGCUCAUGUCAAACUGUGGAUCAUGUUGUCAGAAAUGUGCAGUCUUAUGUCAAAGAUGCAGGCCAGUGUUGCAGCCUUCCACAUUGGUGUGGAACCAGGACAACCCUUCCUCCUGCAUGUUGGUAAAAACAAGGGCAGCACCAAAGACACUUCACCAUCAGUGAUCACAAGAUCAUCCAAGGUAGCUUUUGAUGAACUUUCAAAGCACACUUCACCUUCAGUGCAAAGUACCUCUACAAAUUCUGUACAUUAAUCCAACCUAAAGUUUUCAACAUUGAUGUGACUUGCACAACAAUUGAGGAGUUUAAGAUUCUUGCUUUUACUUUACCUGGCAGAGUGGACAUUCUGAUGACCAUUUAAAUGCAUACUGUAUCAAUAAGAUUUGUUUUAUGUUCUUCCAAUUAAGGACUUUGUUUAUUACAGUCCCUGUGACAAGCAGUUUUCUGUAUGGAUAGCAUUGAAGGCCAUAUUGUCUUUGAGAGGGUCCAGCCAACAUUCCAGACAGGACAGUGUUCAUCUUCUACACCUUCAACACCCAAUAUUAACAUGAGGCAGCCAAAACUUUGGUUCAUUCAACUGUAAAACCAUUGCUAUAAUUUUAUUUUUUUUACAAUGAGCAAAAUACAAUGACAUGGUUUUAAAGCAAGUUAUGAUUAACAUUUGAUAAAGGUGGUGUUUUCUCUUUAUGUAAUUAAAAACAGCUUUAUUUAUAUAUUGUACCAAGCUGUCUUCAGAAUGGCACACUAUUUAUAUUCUCAUAUGUUCCCAUUUUUGAUUUUGCUUUUUAGUCACUUCAUUAGGAUUAACCCAGAAAGGGGCACAAGGGGGAAGAUGUUAUCCAAAAAGACAGGGAAGACCAUUCAAAAGAAAAAGCAGGCAGUGAAUGUGCAGUUUUCCACCCUCAUCAAAAGCCUGAUGGACUUUGAGUGGCAUCCCAUUCAGUGGCCGACGGGUGCAAAGACAUGUGCAACACAAAAAUGCUGAAAACAAAAGUGAUGCAGACCACUACGGGGAGUCGAACAAAGAACAGCUGUGUCCGAAGUCAGGUUUUGCAUCAUUGGGUCUUCAACGACUGGAAGAGGGAAGCUGUAGCGUUCAACCUUCUGCUUAGCCUCUACCUUGGCAUGAUGUUGCUUAGCAACCAUAACGUGAAUCAGAGCGGUUAAGAAAAAAACUGACUCGAU